This 467-nucleotide ribosomal RNA is filed under the name uncultured bacterium. RNAcentral describes it as "partial 16S ribosomal RNA". It matches the Rfam family "Bacterial small subunit ribosomal RNA", at positions 28 to 506 of the family's 1533-position model. The record is from RNAcentral.
GACGAACGCUGGCGGCGUGCUUAACACAUGCAAGUCGAACGGAAAGGCCCUGCUUUUGUGGGGUGCUCGAGUGGCGAACGGGUGAGUAACACGUGAGUAACCUGCCCUUGACUUUGGGAUAACUUCAGGAAACUGGGGCUAAUACCGGAUAGGAGCUCCUGCUGCAUGGUGGGGGUUGGAAAGUUUCGGCGGUUGGGGAUGGACUCGCGGCUUAUCAGCUUGUUGGUGGGGUAGUGGCUUACCAAGGCUUUGACGGGUAGCCGGCCUGAGAGGGUGACCGGCCACAUGGGGCCUGAGAUACGGCCCGGACUCCUCCGGGAGGCAGCGGUGGGGAUUCUUGCACAAUGGGCGGAAGCCUGAUGCAGCAACGCCGCGUGCGGGAUGACGGCCUUCGGGUUGUAAACCGCUUUCGCCUGUGACGAAGCGUGAGUGACGGUAAUGGGUAAAGAAGCACCGGCUAACUACGU